UGCUGGGAUUACAGGUGUGAGCCCCUGCACCCAGCGAGUUACAUAGGCUUUAUGUAAUCCAAUGGGAAACAGUUUUUCAAAAUUUCUCCUGUAGAAUCCACUUGCAAACAAUAUUUGCCACAAACGGGGGCUUUAUUAAAGAUCACACAUCAGCUUUAGUUAGGGGUUUUAUGGGAAAUGCACACUGCUUUUGUGGACUCCAGAGGUAGCAAUGUUACCGUAGAACCUUUUGUCUAUCUUGUGAACUCUUCACUUCAACAUCAUUUCUUCUCUGCUUCUUUUGUUCUUUUACAGGCACAAAACAGCAACACCACCUACCCCUCCCAUUGCCUUCUUUAGAGUAAGUUCUCUGUUCUGAAGCCUUGGCACAGGCUGACAUCCUUCUUACAUAUUUUACUGAAUUGCAGAUGUGAAACUGGUGCCCUUUCCUGUGAAGCUAACCACAGCACUGGCCCAAGAGUCACAGAAGAUAAAGGAAGAGACCCAAGAGGAGUUGGACGAGCAAGUCCUGCUGCUGCUGCAGACGCUGCACACACUGGUCUAGGAUUUUGAGAAACUGAAGGAGGAGAUCCAGCUGUUGCUGGAGUGACUGUCAGCUGGCCCUGCUCCACUUAGACAAGGUGAGCCAGCCCAUCAGAAACAAUGUGCCUGAUUUGCAAUGGCACCCGAUGUCUUGCAUUGUAAUUGCAUUGACCUUCCCAGUAUAAAAGGAUAUGACUGUUGCUGCUUCUCUUCCACUUUUCAAAUGUCAUCUAAAGUAUCUCUUGCAGCCCACAGGAAUUUGGAAUUAUGCUAAAAAGUGGAUUCUGAGAAUCAUGUUUGUAACUUAAAUGAGCUUACACAGUGCAUAUCACCUUGCAUAUGUCAAAAUAAAAAAUGAAAUAAAAAUCGAUACAAUCUCUUCUUC
This is a long non-coding RNA of Homo sapiens (human), 907 nucleotides long. RefSeq lists it as uncharacterized. The transcript has 2 exons. The record is from RefSeq and is a predicted model, not a curated record. NCBI's taxonomy places the organism in Eukaryota, Metazoa, Chordata, Mammalia, Primates, Hominidae.